CCCGCCGCAGGAGCAGCCGGCGAGGAUCCACAGCGGCGCGCUGACUGCAAGCGGGGCCGGGACGCCACCUUACACAUGGAGCCUGCCCGCCGAGUGAUGCUCACACCUGCUAGCUGCGCCCAUCAUGUCCCGGCCAAGGAACAGCAAAAGGCACAUCCCUGACAGCAAGGCAAAUCUCCCAUCCACCAAAUGUCACGUACAUGCUCCAAAGCCUGGAGGUGCUACAGUUUGUCUACAAAACAGCGUUUCACUGUAGCAGAAUGGCGGAAGUUUUCCAGUUCCCAAUGCCUGUUUCGUAACUUACCUUAAAUCAGCGAGGCGUUGCUGAAGGAAUGCUGGGAAAUUGGAGCAAUGACAUCCCAAGCGCUGCUCAUCUGCAACUGGCACCAACAACCCUCAGAACUGUCAUGCCCCUGCACCCAGCAGUAACCUCCAGCUUCAUGCAGAGCACCCUGGAGCCAGCACGUAAGGGGCAUCCCAGGUUCAGGCUGAGCCCACUCAGGCUUCUGGAAAUGUUUGAUUCAUACUGAAUGAACUCACAGGCUUAACGGAAUCAUUUCCAUCUUAUGAUACUGAUCAUAUGAUUACACCUACCAUGCCAUGAGCUGCACUCCAGAAGCACAUAUGCACAUUGCCUCUGCUGUGAAGAGCCCUAACCACCACAUCCAGCACAGCUCGCCAGCUGCAGGAGCAAGAUCCUGCCCUGCGAUGAUACAUCCCCAGCUGUGUGCUUCUGCUGUAGAGGCAGGCUUGACCGCCAGGAUUUCAUGAUGUUAUUUU
Long non-coding RNA from Mauremys mutica (yellowpond turtle), 780 nucleotides. RefSeq lists it as uncharacterized. The transcript has 5 exons. NCBI's taxonomy places the organism in Eukaryota, Metazoa, Chordata, Testudines, Geoemydidae. The record is from RefSeq and is a predicted model, not a curated record.